AUCUGUAGGGAAAAGAUAUGUUUAACUGUUUUCACAGACUCAGGAGAGAACACUGUGAUAAGGCUCUACCAGAUUAGGGAGAUAUUGCCCGAUGGCUCAGGAAAGCAAACCAAGGCAGUUUCACACACACAACCUGAGAGUUUCUGGAAUAUUUCUCUUAGAGCAUCCCGUUGUCCCACUGAGGAUAUUUAUGUCCCUGUGCUAGUACUGAACACUGGAUUAUUAAUGUACAAAGGGGACUGCUUAAUGUGACCAGCCCUGUCUGGAUUUAUUUGUAGAAAAACAUACUGAUCUUGAGGAGGAAGAAGACCAAGUCCGCAUAUAUGUUCCAGAGCUGAGUUUGAUGCUUACCUUGGAAUGAAGAAUGCUCCCAAGCUGGAGGGUGAUUGUCUUGAGGGCUCAGCUGCCAGCAAGCAUAGAUGUCAAGUCAUUGGCCACAUUAAUUUCUUAAGUGACCUGAAACAGAGGAUUAUCAAAAGAAAAUUCCAGCUCAGCAAGUGGAGACUAGCAUGCAGAUUCCCUGGCCUUCAAGCUUAGGGUCCAGAGAAGCCAAGUACUUCUGGAAGUAAGAAAAGAUACUGCUGAUUUCAAAGAAACCGCCUCAUUAAAAAGUAGCUUUUCCACUUGAUGAAAGAAUCUAGAACUGUGAAGGGAUCCUUUGCAGAGAAUCGACAUCACAACCGCAAACAACUCUCCAUGAUUUUUACUCCAAAAGCCUGAUUCAAUGGGAGAAAUCCCAGCCUUUCAGCCUCCAAUUGUGAUAAAUCACGAAGAGAGCAAUGCCUAGAUCAACAUGCAGUUCUGAAAAAUCUUAACCCUUGCUCUUCUCAAUUCCCAUACUGUACAUCACCAAAAUCAGGAGCAACUGGAAAAAGACAACAUGAGAAACUGGACGUUCUUUGCCACCAGCAGGGCUGUGCUAGGAGCAGACAGCACUAACUGUGCAGAGGUCUUGUUGAGAAUGUUUAGUCUGAAUUUAAUCGUGAGGUCAUUAUCAGACAACGGCAGAAUUUAGACCUCUGAACAAGUCAACUGGCCUGUCUUUCUUCAAACAGUCAAUGUUACCACAAGUAAGACGACAAAAAGGAGAAGAGAUAUGUUGGGAUCCAAAGGACUGAAAAGAUUAUGUUACUAUGUUUCUUUAGUCCUUUUGAGCCGAAGACGUUCCUCACCUUUUUGUGAUUGCCUGCGGUGGUGGUGACAUUGCCUUGUUUGUAGAGGACAGGUCAGUCGUCUGGCUCAAUGGUCUACAUUCUCAAGUUGUCUGACCAUUUCCUCAUGAUUAAAUUCAGGCUCACACUUUUGCCGAGAACACUUCACAGUUAACCAGUUAACGCUGUGUGCUUCCUAGCGCAGCCCACCCGGAGACCAGAAUGACCAGUUUAUCCACCACCAUUACUGUGAGAACAUUGGUCACUUUGUUAUGGAGGGGCCUAGGAGAUCUGUCCAUUGUAAAGACACAUUUUUUUCUUUCUAUAAUCAGUAAUUUGGGGAAAGGUACUUUGAGAGUGUGUGAAUAUCCUCUUCUCUAAAGAUCUUUUUCUAAAACUUUUACCAUCCAUUCAUGAUCCCUGCUGUGUGUCGAUUGUCAUAUUGGUGUUUGCACAUUGGAGAUCUUCCAAUUUUAUCAUUCCUAUAUACAUGUAUUUGCUGGCCUUGUGCUGUGGAAAAGAACAUUCCCUCCCCCUUCCAUAUCAUUAAAAUUUUUGUUUUGACUAUCACUGUGGACUUUUGAAUUUUUUACAUUCAAUACUAUAAUCUACUAUAAUUAUGACUGAUUUGGGUGGGUAUGGAUAUAAAUUAAUAUAAAUAAUUUUGUUUCUCCUAUUCAUAUUUAUAUGCUAAAGGUUCCCAUAUCUUUUAGGCUCUAUUUACCCUAUGUAGUCGAUUUUAUUUGCUGUAUUUCUUUCCCCAUGUUAUUUGUUUUCUUUGUGUGUGCAUGUAUAUGUGUGUAUGUCUGUGUUUUGUUUAGCAUUUAGGAAGGAUUGUAUAGGUAGUGUUAAACAUUGCACUAAAUUUUUUUUUUUACAUUUUUAGUCCCUUAUUAACUUGUCAAAUUUCUAAUAUUUGCUUUAUAAGUUUUAAAUCAAUCUCUCAACUUCAAAAAUUUGACAUUUUUCUGUUUUUCUGGGAGGUUUGCACAGGAAGAUUCGCCCUAAGUUAACAUCUG
Long non-coding RNA from Equus caballus (horse), 2170 nucleotides. RefSeq lists it as uncharacterized. The record is from RefSeq and is a predicted model, not a curated record. NCBI's taxonomy places the organism in Eukaryota, Metazoa, Chordata, Mammalia, Perissodactyla, Equidae.